GACGAACGCUUGCGGCGUGCCUAAGAAAUGCAAGUCGAGCGAGAUCUUGCGCUGACCAAAGCUUCGGCAGAGGUCUUGUGAGGUCUAGCGGCGAACGGUCGCGUAACACGUAAGCAACCUGCCCUGAAGUGUGGGAUAGCCCACCGAAAGGUGGAUUAAUACCGCAUGUGGAUACUUUCAUGCAUGUGAUAGUGUCUAAAGCAGCAAUGCGCUUCAGGAUGGGCUUGCGGCCUAUCAGCUAGUUGGUGGGGUAACGGCCUACCAAGGCGACGACGGGUAGCUGGUCUGAGAGGACGAUCAGCCGGAUUGGGACUGAGAUACGGCCCAGACUCCUACGGGGGGGCAGCAAUUAGGAAUCUUGCGCAAUGGGGGAAACCCUGACGCAGCGACGCCGCGUGAAUGAUGAAGUCUUUCGGGAUGUAAAGUUCUGUCCUAUGGGAAGAAGAAUGUGACGGUCCCAUAGAGAAAGCCCCGGCUAACU
This 481-nucleotide ribosomal RNA is filed under the name uncultured bacterium. RNAcentral describes it as "bacterial SSU rRNA". It matches the Rfam family "Bacterial small subunit ribosomal RNA", at positions 28 to 502 of the family's 1533-position model. The record is from RNAcentral.